UGACACGUAAGUAAUCAGAUGCUGUCUGAUAGGAGGAAGUCAAACUACAGGAUUUUACUGUCAGGGCCAUCAGCUACUCAGGAGCCUGUUUGAAUCAAUUGAUGGCAAAUAGCAGUCUUUCUACAUUUUCUUGCAGACAGAUUUCUAUCUGACUUUCUUGGCCACCAAUUCAACAGAAGAAGAGAACAACCAAAUGUCUGUAGUUACUGCAUCUUCGUAUAGGUGGCAAGGAGUGGCUCUUCUUUGUUCCCCUAUGACAUACAAAGGACUUAGAAGUGUUUAUGUGAGGAAAAGGCAGCAUAUUAUAACAUCUGACACUUUUUCUCCAUGAGAAAGCUGGAAAUCACCCCUUCCAACUGGCAGAAAGCUUUGACUCUCAGCCCUGCAAAGCUUUGAAGUCAUGAUGCAUCUACAAGUGAAUCUGUCAUUUCUCUUACCGUUAGCUUGCUAGCCUGAGUCUUGAAGAACAGUUUUCACAAAUUUCUCCUCAGCAAAUAGAGAUGAUGUAAGACAGUAUAAAAGUUAAAUUUACAUUAGAUUUAAGGGUUCCAGUUAUGCCUUUGGUGUACAGUUGGACAGUACAGCUAAGAUGAUCUAGCAGCUCACUGCUGGCAGGAGGAACUGUACCAUUCCUUCUUCCAUGCUCCUGCUCUGUCUUGUGUCUACUCUGGUGCUUAUCUGAUCCUCCAUAAGCCAAUUCAACUGCAUCACAAAAAAUGAUAUGUCAAUCUCCUGCAGUACUGCUUUUUCCAGUUUUAUUCUCUGAAUCUGAUGCAUGGAGGGAGGAAGUGGAAUUGUGACCUGGGGUACAACUCCACUGUGAUCCUUCUGUUUUCCUUCCUCACUAAUAUGUGCAUCCUCUUAUUCCUAACUUUAUCUACCCAUUCUGUUCUCUGAGCAGUCAGUCUCCAAACAGAACACCAUAACUGUCCUUCCAUCCUGGAUUUCUUGUGCUUCCCUUUCAAAGGACGCUUUGCUCCCAGUGGAAGCCUUA
Dromaius novaehollandiae (emu) is the source of this 994-nucleotide long non-coding RNA. RefSeq lists it as uncharacterized. The record is from RefSeq and is a predicted model, not a curated record. NCBI's taxonomy places the organism in Eukaryota, Metazoa, Chordata, Aves, Casuariiformes, Dromaiidae. The transcript is spliced from 3 exons.